Long non-coding RNA from Lutra lutra (Eurasian river otter), 572 nucleotides. RefSeq lists it as uncharacterized. Lineage: Eukaryota; Metazoa; Chordata; Mammalia; Carnivora; Mustelidae. The transcript is spliced from 4 exons. The record is from RefSeq and is a predicted model, not a curated record.
GUGGGUCAUGAGUUCAGACCCAGCCUGGCCAGGUGCUCCGGGCUUGAAGUCUCUCAGAUGGUUGCCGUCAGACGUCACCUGGACUAUGGUCACCUGGAGACUCACCUGGGACUGGAUGAUCUGAUUCCCAGGUGGCUUGCUCACCUGGCUGGCAAGGAUCUUGGUGGGAAGUUUCAGGUCCUCUCUGUGUGGGCCUCUUCACAGAGCUGGAAUGACUUUGAGGCCAGAAGAGCUAAAGCCAUGAGAGAUAAGCCUGGAGCUUCUAGGAGACCGGAGUGGUGGAUGCUAGGAAGGUGCUAACCCCAGGAUUUGUGGCUGGAGGAAGGAGCCCACUGAUGGCAAGCUAGGUGACUUGUUUCCACUGGUUUGAGGUCUGGAAGGCCCAGGACCUUCAGAUGACCCAAAUCCAGCUGUUGGCAGGACCCAGGUCUAUCCAGCCAGCGUGCAUGGUUAACUAGGAGCCACAGCAUUUUAGAAUUGAGAAGUGAUGCUCAAGCAUUCCAGAUAAGACCGAGAUAAAAUCCUGGCUUUCCACUCUGACUGCUGACUGUGCUCUGUCCCUGCUUCCCUGU